CCUACGGGUGGCAGCAGUGAGGAAUAUUGGUCAAUGGGCGAGAGCCUGAACCAGCCAAGUCGCGUGAGGGAAGACGGUCCUAUGGAUUGUAAACCUCUUUUGCCGGGGAGCAAAAAGCGGUACGUGUACCGCAUCGAGAGUACCCGGAGAAAAAGCAUCGGCUAACUCCGUGCCAGCAGCCGCGGUAAUACGGAGGAUGCGAGCGUUAUCCGGAUUUAUUGGGUUUAAAGGGUGCGCAGGCGGCGAGGUAAGUCAGCGGUAAAAUUUCGGGGCUCAACCCCUUCCCGCCCUUGAAACUGGCGUUCUGGAGUGGGAGAGAAGUAUGCGGAAUGCGUGGUGUAGCGGUGAAAUGCAUAGAUAUCACGCAGAACCCCGAUUGCGAAGGCAGCAUGCCGGCUUCCGACUGACGCUGAAGCACGAAAGCGUGGGGAUCGAACAGGAUUAGAUACCCGUGUAGUC
Molecule: ribosomal RNA, 459 nt
Filed under: uncultured bacterium
Lineage: Bacteria
Description: partial 16S ribosomal RNA
Rfam family: Bacterial small subunit ribosomal RNA
Source: RNAcentral